Molecule: ribosomal RNA, 490 nt
Filed under: uncultured bacterium
Lineage: Bacteria
Description: partial 16S ribosomal RNA
Rfam family: Bacterial small subunit ribosomal RNA
Source: RNAcentral
GUGAACGCUGGCGGUAGGCCUAACACAUGCAAGUCGAACGGCAGCACAGUAAGAGCUUGCUCUUACGGGUGGCGAGUGGCGGACGGGUGAGGAAUACAUCGGAAUCUACUUUUUCGUGGGGGAUAACGUAGGGAAACUUACGCUAAUACCGCAUACGACCUACGGGUGAAAGCAGGGGAUCUUCGGACCUUGCGCGAUUGAAUGAGCCGAUGUCGGAUUAGCUAGUUGGCGGGGUAAAGGCCCACCAAGGCGACGAUCCGUAGCUGGUCUGAGAGGAUGAUCAGCCACACUGGAACUGAGAAAGGGUCCAGCUCCCUACGGAGGCAGCAGUGGGGAAUAUUGGACAAUGGGCGCAAGCCUGAUCCAGCCAUACCGCGUGGGUGAAGAAGGCCUUCGGGUUGUAAAGCCCUUUUGUUGGGAAAGAAAAGCAGCAGGUUAAUACCCCGCUGUUCUGACGGUACCCAAAGAAUAAGCACCGGCUAACUUCGUG